RNAcentral lists this long non-coding RNA (1488 nucleotides) under Vulpes vulpes (red fox). Its description in RNAcentral is "lncRNA (ENSVVUG00000007301.1)". The record is from RNAcentral. Lineage: Eukaryota; Metazoa; Chordata; Mammalia; Carnivora; Canidae.
ACAAAAAUUUCAGAUUAUGAAGUCAUGCUUUCUGUAGUCCUUAAGGAAAUUUAGGGAACAGAGACCCAAAAUUGGUGGGAGAGGCUAGAGAAAAGAGAUGACCUGUGUCUCCAGAUGCAGUGUUGGGGGGUGAGGAGUGCAGGACCCAAAGGAGCAGGACGCCUGGAUGUGCAGUGUGCCACUGGUUGCUGGAAAAUAUGGAAAUGAAACCUACAGUAAGCAGUUGGUCUUCUAUGUGUCUGACUGGAUCUCAUCACAAAGGAAUCACUGUCUGUGACAGUCAAGUGGCUCUUAACUCCUUAACAAGACUAAUAAAACCUUACUUGUCCAGACAGGAUGCUACACAGAAAUUAAUGCCAUCUAGCAAAGUCCAAGCCAAAUGCCUCCCACCAGGACAGCCUCUCCUGGAAAGCUGUACCUGGCCCCACAGGCAUGUCUCUGGGUGGAGAAUUACUAGUGUGAAACUGGAUCAAGAAAACCUCAUUUAAGAUGGAGCCGGGAAGCCACAAGGGGGAGCUCUCAUGCCUCAGUGUUGGUCCUUGCCAAUGACAAACCCACCAGGAAGAAACAAACCUUGCAUGCCCAACAGGAAAAAAAACUUACACGUGACUACCACAGCAGGGGAAAGAAAGAUUUUCCCCUCACCCAGCAACAGCCCAGCCAAAGACUGACUGUUACAACUCAGCCAAUGAAAGCCACUACACUUCUGGUUCUCAGUUUAUUCCAAUGGAUUUUUUGUUUUUAAUAGCCUGUCCCUAAUUCCCUUUCUUCUCCUUUGUUCUGCAGGCUUGCCUAUGGUUUUGCCAUAGUGUACAUGUCCCAGACUGCAAUUCUCUGCUCUUCUCAAAUAAGUCCAUUUUUGCCAGUAAAAUAACUAAGUUUUAUUUUUCGGGUUAAUACUAGCAGAUUUUGACUCUGCUCACACCACUGGUAUGGUGUGUAUCCAUCAAGAGGUAACACAGAGCUGUAGCAAUGAUCUGGGAAAUGUAGUCAAUUCAUUUUAAAUCACCAAAGGGGGUUAAUCAGGCUCCAGAAGGUAGCUCUGAGUGGUUUGUUUUGUUGUCUGUCUUGGAGACAUUCAUGAGGUAUUUUCUACAUACAUUUCCCUUGUGUGGUGUAGUCUCUGGGAGUAACUCAGGAGCAACAAAACCAGAGGUCACAGAAAAUGUUAGGCCAUUCCAACUCAUUGCAGUUUGUCUGCAGCCAUGCACAAGACACAUCCCAGAAAUACAGAAAUGAACAAAGCAGAGGAAUCUUUCCCAUCCACUCUAUGUUUGCUCAUACAGACAUAGCCAGGCAGAUGACUCUGCGACCUCUCACCCCCGAUACUCUUAAGAUCCAUGUCGCUGGAGUAAACCAAUGUCCACAUUCUCUUACCCUAAACCAAGGGUGAAAAUGUUUGAAAUCUCAACCCCCUUCCAGGUUCUAUAGGAAUCCUUUAAUGGCCAAGCAAUAUCAUUCAACAAGUCAUCCCAUGAAAAUGCAAGA